CACGUUGAAACACCAGUUCUUGUAUGAUCACACAAGUUAAGCAAUGUUGACCCUAGUCAGUACCUAGAUGGUUGACCUCUUGGGAAUACCAGAUGCUGUAAG
Non-coding RNA from Acanthosepion pharaonis, 102 nucleotides. NCBI's taxonomy places the organism in Eukaryota, Metazoa, Mollusca, Cephalopoda, Sepiida, Sepiidae. The record is from the annotation of a GenBank genome assembly.